Topomyia yanbarensis is the source of this 441-nucleotide long non-coding RNA. RefSeq lists it as uncharacterized. The record is from RefSeq and is a predicted model, not a curated record. NCBI's taxonomy places the organism in Eukaryota, Metazoa, Arthropoda, Insecta, Diptera, Culicidae. The transcript is spliced from 3 exons.
CAAAGCGAGUGCAGCGUGUUAGCAGACCGUCUCAAUAUUAUUUUCUUAAAUCUAACUUAAUUAUUAUACUACCUAGUGGAUUAACUAAAACUUAUAUCUAAAUUGUUACUACUUAGCUAGGGUGUAUACCAAUCACGAGUAUAGUACGGAUAGGUUAGUGAUUAGUACGUACAUAGUUCAAGGUGAGCUUUCUUUAAAAUUGCUAUUAGUGCUGUGGAUUAAAUAAUUACUCCGCAUAUUUCGAAUACAGCAGGAUCAUAUAUCGCACGUUCAGGUGCUUAUGACUGAUUAGGAAAACUACUGUACUAGAGCUACGUCAUACCUGCGGGUUAGGAUACGCCGUUGCCCGACAGCUAGAAAUACUAAGCGAAUUUUAUAAUCCUAAUAAAGAAAUUCGAGGAUUUAUAAAACUUAAUUAUUUUCUGUCGCUGUCGAGUAACA